AGAGUUUGAUCAUGGCUCAGGACGAACGCUGGCGGCGUGCCUAAUGCAUGCAAGUCGCACGCAGACACUUCGGUGUUUGAGUGGCGCACGGCUGAGGAACACGUGGGAACCUGCCCGCUUGUGGGGGAUAACCCGCCGAAAGGCGAGCUAAUCCCGCAUACGCCCUUCGGGGGAAAGCCGCAAGGCGCAGGCGGAGGGGCCCGCGGCCCAUCAGGUUGUUGGCGGGGUAACGGCCCACCAAGCCACUGACGGGUAGCUGGUCUGUGAGGACAACCAGCCAGACUGGGACUGAGACACGGCCCAGACUCCUACGGGAGGCAGCAGCAAGGAAUUUUCGGCAAUGGGGGCAACCCUGACCGAGCAACGCCGCGUGGAGGAUGACGGCCUUCGGGUUGUAAACUCCUUUUCGGGAGGAAGAUAACGACGGUACUCCCGGAAUCAGGCUCGGCUAACUCUGUGCCAGCAGCCGCGGUAAGACAGAGGAGCCAAGCGUUGUCCGGAUUGACUGGGCGUAAAGCGCACGCAGGCGGCGGCGCGCGUGGGGUGUGAAAUCGCUCGGCUUAACCGAGCGCAGCCACCUCAUACGGCGUCGCUCGAGCCC
This 601-nucleotide ribosomal RNA is filed under the name uncultured bacterium. RNAcentral's name for it is "bacterial SSU rRNA". It matches the Rfam family "Bacterial small subunit ribosomal RNA", at positions 8 to 649 of the family's 1533-position model. The record is from RNAcentral.